Rana temporaria (common frog) is the source of this 683-nucleotide long non-coding RNA. RefSeq lists it as uncharacterized. The transcript is spliced from 3 exons. NCBI's taxonomy places the organism in Eukaryota, Metazoa, Chordata, Amphibia, Anura, Ranidae. The record is from RefSeq and is a predicted model, not a curated record.
GGAUGCCAAGAUGAAAACAUAACAGUCUGGUGAUGAUGUCUCUUGACUUGAAUGAAUGGGAAAUUGAACGAAUGAAUGUGGUAUGUGCAUCGUUGACAUCUGUCCCUCCAGUGAUAUCCAUUGGUUGAGAUGUUUACCUCCUCUGCUGACGGGUUAUUUGAUACCAUCUUCUGGUAUUGAUGCUCCCAUAUUCUCUGCCAGGGAAGAAGCAAAAGGACAUCUGAGUCUGCUGGAGCAGCUGACAUAUUCAAAAUGGGGGCACCCAGCAACAGUCUUUGGGCUUUUGGAAGUCUACACAAGGAACCUUUUUACAAGUAAAAACAUGUAUAAAAUAUGCACGUAUAACUUUUUUAUGUUUUAAACAGAAACGCACAUAUAAUCAUAGGAGAUGAUUGUUGUUAAAUAAAUCUUCUGGCGACAGGGUCUAUUUAUGUUUGCUGUAAAACACAAAUGGCUCCUCCAGGCUAUGACAGUGUAUUGCUCAACAACAUACAGAUCACAACUAAUGACUAUUAUUUCAUUGACCAGCACAGCUUCCCAUAAUAAGUGGCUCUUUUUGAUCUUGUAGCACCAGAUGUGAGCACACCCUACUGAAUGCUAGAAAAAAAAAAAGACCAUUUACCAUAGCUAAUAGCAUAUGUUGGCAAAAAGAGAAAAGACAAGGACGGUUCUCUAUAUGUAGA